This 561-nucleotide unclassified non-coding RNA is filed under the name Hevea brasiliensis (rubber tree). The record is from RNAcentral. Lineage: Eukaryota; Viridiplantae; Streptophyta; Magnoliopsida; Malpighiales; Euphorbiaceae.
GCACCGGAUCGAGCGGCUGAUGCAGUUGCAGGCUCUACGGGCACGGCCUCGACGGCGGCGUCUGCCGAAAGACGAAGGGGAUCGUCAGAUGCCGAGCGCACCGCAUCCUGGAUCGGCAGUUCGCGGCCGAGCGACCGAACCAGAAGUGGAUUGCCGACUUCACCUACAUCUGGACCGCGGAGGGCUGGCUCUACGUAUCGGCCGUGAUCGACCUGUUCUCGCGCCGCGUGGNNNNNCGGCUGGUCGAUGAGCGCCACGAUGACGGCCCAACUGGUCGCGGAUGCACUGCUGAUGGCCGUCUGGAGGCGCGGCAAGCCAAGGGAGCUGUUGCAUCUUUUGCACCCCCCCAAGCGGGGCAGCCAGUACAGCAGCGAGCCGUUCCAGCGAUUGAUGGCCGACAGCGGCAUCGUCUGCAGCAUGAGCCGGUCCGGCAAUGUUUGGGAUAAUGCGGCGAUNNAGCUUCUUCUCGUCGUUGAAGACCGAGCGCACGGCCCGCAAAACCUAUCGCACGAGGAACGAGGCCAGGGCAGAUGUGUUCGACUACAUCGAGCGGUUCUACAA